RNAcentral lists this ribosomal RNA (253 nucleotides) under uncultured bacterium. Its description in RNAcentral is "partial 16S ribosomal RNA". It matches the Rfam family "Archaeal small subunit ribosomal RNA", at positions 474 to 727 of the family's 1478-position model. The record is from RNAcentral.
UACCAGCACCCCGAGUGGUCGGGACGAUUAUUGGGCCUAAAGCAUCCGUAGCCGGUUUUACAAGUCCUCCGUUAAAUCCAACUGCUUAACAGAUGGGCCGCGGAGGGUACUAUAAGACUAGGAGGCAGGAGAGGCAAGCGGUACUCAGUGGGUAGGGGUAAAAUCCGUUGAUCCAUUGAGGACCACCAGUGGCGAAGGCGGCUUGCCAGAAUGCGCUCGACGGUGAGGGAUGAAAGCUGGGGGAGCAAACCGG